This 210-nucleotide ribosomal RNA is filed under the name uncultured Prochlorococcus sp. Its description in RNAcentral is "partial 16S ribosomal RNA". It matches the Rfam family "Bacterial small subunit ribosomal RNA", at positions 194 to 407 of the family's 1533-position model. Lineage: Bacteria; Bacillati; Cyanobacteriota; Cyanophyceae; Synechococcales; Prochlorococcaceae. The record is from RNAcentral.
UAUUGGUGAAAUGAAUUUCGCCUGAGGAUGAGCUCGCGUCUGAUUAGCUAGUUGGUGAGGUAAUGGCUCACCAAGGCUUCAAUCAGUAGCUGGUCUGAGAGGAUGAUCAGCCACACUGGGACUGAGACACGGCCCAGACUCCUACGGGAGGCAGCAGUGGGGAAUUUUCCGCAAUGGGCGAAAGCCUGACGGAGCAACGCCGCGUGAGGG